Molecule: ribosomal RNA, 450 nt
Filed under: uncultured bacterium
Lineage: Bacteria
Description: partial 16S ribosomal RNA
Rfam family: Bacterial small subunit ribosomal RNA
Source: RNAcentral
GUGGGGAAUAUUGGACAAUGGGCGAAAGCCUGAUCCAGCCAUGCCGCGUGUGUGAAGAAGGUCUUCGGAUUGUAAAGCACUUUAAGUUGGGAGGAAGGGCAGUAAGUUAAUACCUUGCUGUUUUGACGUUACCAACAGAAUAAGCACCGGCUAACUUCGUGCCAGCAGCCGCGGUAAUACGAAGGGUGCAAGCGUUAAUCGGAAUUACUGGGCGUAAAGCGCGCGUAGGUGGUUCAGCAAGUUGGAGGUGAAAUCCCCGGGCUCAACCUGGGAACUUCCUCCAAAACUACUUAGCUAGAGUACGGUAGAUGGUAGUGGAAUUUCCUGUGUAGCGGUGAAAUGCGUAGAUAUAGGAAGGAACACCAGUGGCGAAGGCGACUACCUGGACUGAUACUGACACUGAGGUGCGAAAGCGUGGGGAGCAAACAGGAUUAGAAACCCCUGUAGUCC